GGAGAGGUGGUCGAGUGGUUGAAGGCUCUGGUCUUGAAAACCAGCAUAGUGAACAACUAUCGAGGGUUCGAAUCCCUCUCUCUCCU
RNAcentral lists this transfer RNA (86 nucleotides) under Spirogyra maxima. Its description in RNAcentral is "tRNA-Ser". It matches the Rfam family "tRNA". From Rfam's summary of the family: Transfer RNA (tRNA) molecules are approximately 80 nucleotides in length. Their secondary structure includes four short double-helical elements and three loops (D, anti-codon, and T loops). Further hydrogen bonds mediate the characteristic L-shaped molecular structure. tRNAs have two regions of fundamental functional importance: the anti-codon, which is responsible for specific mRNA codon recognition, and the 3' end, to which the tRNAs corresponding amino acid is attached (by aminoacyl-tRNA synthetases). tRNAs cope with the degeneracy of the genetic code in two manners: having more than one tRNA (with a specific anti-codon) for a particular amino acid; and 'wobble' base-pairing, i.e. permitting non-standard base-pairing at the 3rd anti-codon position. Lineage: Eukaryota; Viridiplantae; Streptophyta; Zygnematophyceae; Spirogyrales; Spirogyraceae. The record is from RNAcentral.